This 254-nucleotide ribosomal RNA is filed under the name uncultured bacterium. Its description in RNAcentral is "partial 16S ribosomal RNA". It matches the Rfam family "Bacterial small subunit ribosomal RNA", at positions 524 to 776 of the family's 1533-position model. The record is from RNAcentral.
UACGGAGGGUGCAAGCGUUAUCCGGAUUUACUGGGUUUAAAGGGUGCGUAGGCGGUCCCUUAAGUCUGGUGUGAAAGGUUCAGGGCUCAACCCGAAGAGUGCACUGGAUACUGGGGGACUUGAGUUUGGGAGAGGAGAGUGGAAUUCCUGGUGUAGCGGUGAAAUGCGUAGAUAUCAGGAGGAACACCGAUGGCGAAGGCAGCUCUCUGGCCCAAAACUGACGCUGAGGUGCGAAAGCGUGGGGAGCGAACGGG